UCUUCGUAGUAGUUCAGAACCACCAUGCGAGUGAAAUGCAAGCGUGAUGGUUGUACUUUGGUUUCAAUGUGUGGAGGAGUCGUCACCAAAAUCCCAGAUUUCCACCACGGAAAAUAGCCUUAUAUCAGCUGCAUUGAAAACGAUGUCUCUCGUUAUUGCCGUGGCUCUAGCACUUUACUGUGGAAGCUGUCUGGCCUUUCAGUGUUCUCUUUACAGGCAUGGUUGAUUUUAGUAGAGUGCCGUGGUGGUUCUGUAGGUGUCUUUGCGUAGUGCUCAUGUUAGCCGUGGCAUACGGGACUAUUUUCUUACAGUGCUUACAUGUUUUCGUGAAUUGUCUGUUACUCUGUCGCCGUUUAUUAUUUCCACCGGGUACCUGCCACACAAACUAUUUAAAAGUGGUGGGGGCAUCUUCUAUGCUAAUAUCCCCCUCACACUCUGUCAUGCUGAUAUUGUGAGACAGCUUUUCACCUCGAUGAGAAAUAUUGUCACGUUUUAAUAUCGCGAGAUCUCGUCACAUCCCUAGUAAUCACAGAUAGUUGCAGGUAGUAACGGGUAGUCUCAGGUAGUAACAGAUAGUCUCAGGUAGUAACAGAUAGUCUCAGGUAGUAACAGAUAGUCUCAGGUAGUAACAGGUAGUCUCAGGUAGUAACAGGUAGUCUCAGGUACUCUCAGGUAGUAACAGUAGUCUCAAGUAGUAACAGAUAGUCUCAGGUAGUAACGGGUAGUCUCAGGUAGUAACAGAUAGUCUCAGGUAGUAACGGGUAGUCUCAGGUAGUAACGGGUAGUCUCAGGUAGUAAAGGGUAGUCUCAGGUAGUAACAGAUAGUCUCAGGUAGUAACAGGUAACCGAACAUUAUGUGGUGAACACACACAGGCACGAUUUAUACACACAGUGACACGUUCCACCCUCAGAACACCUCUCGUCCAAUCAGAUCAGUGGACUGGAACUAAGAGCUGUAUAAGUAGUUAAUAACACACUCCAGACCGUGUGCAGGAACAUAAUCCAUUUCGGAGUAGUAACAGUAACUCCGCUUUAUCACACCAUCCUGUCAUUGAUCAUUUUCCUAUAACAGCACCACCUGGAGUGAUUAUUUCAAUACUUACUGGUGUUUUUUCUGUAAAAAGCCACGCCCCUCACACAACUAGUGAAGUUCUGUUUUUAUUUCCUCGGAAUGUUCCGGGUUUUUACAAACAGCUUUAUAACUACAGUAACAUUUUUAACUUUCCUGAAGUAGUCGGCAGAAAUCUCUCUGGAGUUUGACUUGCAUUUAUUUAUUUAUUUAUUAAUUGAUUGUUGCUGAGC
Molecule: long non-coding RNA, 1302 nt
Organism: Ictalurus punctatus (channel catfish)
Lineage: Eukaryota; Metazoa; Chordata; Actinopteri; Siluriformes; Ictaluridae
Source: Ensembl